RNAcentral lists this ribosomal RNA (160 nucleotides) under Cylindrocarpon sp. PV Wi 22k. RNAcentral's name for it is "5.8S ribosomal RNA". It matches the Rfam family "5.8S ribosomal RNA". Rfam says of the family: 5.8S ribosomal RNA (5.8S rRNA) is a component of the large subunit of the eukaryotic ribosome. It is transcribed by RNA polymerase I as part of the 45S precursor that also contains 18S and 28S rRNA. Lineage: Eukaryota; Fungi; Ascomycota; Sordariomycetes; Hypocreales; Nectriaceae. The record is from RNAcentral.
CAAAACUUUCAACAACGGAUCUCUUGGUUCUGGCAUCGAUGAAGAACGCAGCGAAAUGCGAUAAGUAAUGUGAAUUGCAGAAUUCAGUGAAUCAUCGAAUCUUUGAACGCACAUUGCGCCCGCGAGUAUUCUCGCGGGCAUGCCUGUUCGAGCGUCAUUU